CUUUAGAAAAUGUAAUAAUUAAACUUUUGGGGAUAGGCGUCAUUAUUCUCAAAAGGUUUAUCUCUAAAACAUUACAUAAUCAAUUGGAAUGAACAUCAAUAGUAAACAUGGAGCAGACGCUAAUACUUCUUCAAAUUUCAGACAGUGCAUUUCCAACAGGCGGAUUUUCUCACAGCAUGGGCCUCGAAUCAGCGGUGCAACAUCACUGGGUUCAAAGCAAAGGAGAUCUGAUAAAUUUCUGUAUCUCAGUGCUGGAAAACGCUGGGUCAUUAGGCAUUCCCUUUGUCCAAGAAUCAUUCAAGAAUUAUGCUGAUGUUAAGCAUUUGAGCAGACUAGACCAGCUUCUCCAUGCAUGUUCUGCCAACCACGUUGCUUGCAGAGCUAGCACAAAACAGGGUAAAGCAAUGUUAGAAACUGCAAGCAGAGUGUUCAUGGAUCAAAAUAUUUCUAAGCUCUUGUCUAGCCUCAGCCACUGUCAUCAUGCAGUUGUGUUUGGUGCAAUCUGUGGUUGCCUAGGAAUAGCAGAAGAAAUAAUGUUAGCUACAUAUAUGUCUGGAUUGGCACGUACAGUAAUGGCAAGUGCGGUUCGCCUUGACAAAGUUGGACCUAUUGAGGCACAGAAAAUAGUAGCCAGUCUCCAGAAAGUUAUUCCAGAGAUUAUCCAUAGGUAAAAUGGAGAGACUUUUAAUAACAUUUAAUGUUAAUAGAAAUGUUUUAUUUUGAAUGGUGUUUGAUUACAAAGACUUUCUAGCCAAGAGAGUAUCAGAUACUAUCUUAGUAGCUGACACUCAGUUUAGCAUAUAUAACUAUUCUGUAAUGAAUUUGAGAUCCUAACAAUCAUUACCCUUUUUUUUAAAUGACUAUAAACAGUAGAAGGACUUUGGACUACACAAAUAGGACAGCUAUAAACAAAUUCCAUCUGCAUGUUCAUUAUGUACUUUAGAGAGCUGGACUUCUAGAUAUUGCCUGAUGAUGAUAUAGUAUUUUUAAAAUACAGCAAGCUGAAACACGUACUGCAUAGAUAGGCAAUUAUCACCUUUACAGAAGUAGACUAAUUUUUUUUACUGGCAUUUGAUGAACAGCUGUUGGUAAGUGGCAACAUUUAUAAAAUAUCCAAAACACUAUUUGUUUCUAUUAACUCUUCUUUGUUUCUGCAAGAUGCACUUGAACUUUAAAACUAUCCUUAUGAGUUCUACUAAUGUAACAAGAUUUUUAUAUUUGACGAUUUCUUGGAAAAAAACUUCAUUAAAAAGUGCUUGCUUUCAUAUUAUCUAGAUUUGUAACAAGUA
This 1289-nucleotide unclassified non-coding RNA is filed under the name Pomacea canaliculata. RNAcentral describes it as "urease accessory protein F-like, transcript variant X1". The record is from RNAcentral. Lineage: Eukaryota; Metazoa; Mollusca; Gastropoda; Architaenioglossa; Ampullariidae.